This 433-nucleotide ribosomal RNA is filed under the name uncultured bacterium. Its description in RNAcentral is "partial 16S ribosomal RNA". It matches the Rfam family "Bacterial small subunit ribosomal RNA", at positions 29 to 507 of the family's 1533-position model. The record is from RNAcentral.
AACGAACGCUGGCGGCAGGCCUAACACAUGCAAGUCGAGCGAGGACUUCGGUUCUAGCGGCGGACGGGGGAGUAACGCGUGGGAAUGUGCCCUUCUCUACGGAAUAGCCCUGGGAAACUGGGAGUAAUACCGUAUACGCCCUAUUGGGGAAAGAUUUAUCGGAGAAGGAUCAGCCCGCGUUGGAUUAGGUAGUUGGUGGGGUAAUGGCCUACCAAGCCGACGAUCCAUAGCUGGUUUGAGAGGCUGAUCAGCCACACUGGGACUGAGACACGGCCCAGACUCCUACGGGAGGCAGCAGUGGGGAAUCUUAGACAAUGGGGGCAACCCUGAUCUAGCCAUGCCGCGUGAGUGAUGAAGGCCUUAGGGUUGUAAAGCUCUUUCAGCUGGGAAGAUAAUGACGGUACCAGCAGAAGAAGCCCCGGCUAACUCCGUG